This 203-nucleotide long non-coding RNA is filed under the name Lathyrus oleraceus (garden pea). RNAcentral's name for it is "Pisum sativum (pea) long non-coding RNA (PSAT_LNC037425)". The record is from RNAcentral. Lineage: Eukaryota; Viridiplantae; Streptophyta; Magnoliopsida; Fabales; Fabaceae.
AGAGCUCGGCGUUGGGUUGUCGUGAAGAGGUCCAAGGUGACAGUGGAUGAUGGAGGAGUGGAAGAAUAUUUUGGGGAUGUUCGUAAGUGACCUUUGGGGAAGAAGAGGGUCUUUUUCAUGAGAGAAAGAUCCAAAAACCUUUAAUUCGUCUCUUUCGUUGUCUUUCUUUUUUUUAUUUUUUCUAACAGACCAAAAGAGAGUCC